UUGCUAAAAACCUGUAAAAUAGCUUCUCUUUUAUAAAGCACAUAGAGUGGUUAAUUCAGGAUGAAAGCUCUGGGGAAUAGCAUUUCAUGCCUAUCUAGGAAAACCACUCCUACAGAUUUCAGUUUUAAAUGUAUACUUUUUGAGAGACCACUGAGAAUUUCUAACUCUCCAGAGAUUCUGGAGAAAUAAAAAAUAUUACUAAAUAUGUUGAGUUAAGGGAACAUGUUUUGCUCUUUUCAUAUUAGACUGUAAGAGUUGCAAGCCUUCAACUAGGGUCAAAAUUCUAUUUGGGUUAGAAACUUCCAAAAAAAUCUCAAAGGAAAAGAUAUCAGCUCGUAUAUUAUUAGAUGAAUAUUAAAGAAUAAAAGAAGAUGUAAAAGAAAUACAUUUUUCAGUCUGUGGUAAUCCCUUUCCUGUGUUUAGCAAAACGUUGCAAACAAAUCAGUAUAAAAAACAUACUAAGAAAAAGGCUGCUACAAACAGAGAGGGAAUUGUUGACAAUGUAAAUUAAUGAAAUGAGGAUAAAAAAUCAGGUAGUAACUGCCCUCCUUCUGUAUUCAAAAGUCUGCAUGUGGAAGAAAUAUUCUCUCCACCAUUUCACAACUGGCACCGGCCAAAUCCUAUGCCUAAACCAUAUCAAACGAAUUAGGGUAGCAAAGGUACAAAUAUGGUCAGACAAAAAGAUCUAACAUGUGACUGGGUUAUGUGAUGUUCUUUUAAUUAGCAGUCUUCCAAUAAGCCUUAGUUUUAAUUUCAUAAGCCUCAGAAUCCAUUUAGCUUUGGUGAAUUCACCUCCCCCUCGGUAUUUAACUACUUAACUAUGACUAAUUAAAAAAGAACUCAGUGUGUAUUGGUUUCAUCAACAGUGAUAAUUAAUUAAUCAUUGGCUCUACUUGAGUAUUUUUAUUAUGAAAAUGUAAGUAAUCAGUGCAGAGUUAGCUCUCAGUUUCAAAUUUCUGUAUGCUCACCUGAACACACUCAUAGAUGAAAUGCCCCAAGACAUCAAGGGACAGACGUCUCUCAGGCAUUCCCAACCCAGCAGGAAACCGACAGAACUCCGGACUGAGUCCUGCCCUCGCACCGGGACUGGAAUCUUGCUUGUCCUUUACAGCCCAGUCAUUCCCGAGCCUCCGGGAGCCCCAUGGGAGCGUGGAGUGCUGACUCCACAGCGCUGGUGAGUCCUCUUUCGUCUCUCCCAACACAGCAAUUCAUACCUCCCACUGACUUAGGAACGGGGCUGUUCUUUCUUCCAUGCCUGAACGUAGCCAUGGUCUCUCUAUUCAUACUGCAACUACAACGGAUAGGUGUAUGAAGUGAUGCUAAAACAC
Pogoniulus pusillus (Red-fronted tinkerbird) is the source of this 1328-nucleotide long non-coding RNA. RefSeq lists it as uncharacterized. NCBI's taxonomy places the organism in Eukaryota, Metazoa, Chordata, Aves, Piciformes, Lybiidae. The record is from RefSeq and is a predicted model, not a curated record. The transcript has 3 exons.